This 719-nucleotide ribosomal RNA is filed under the name uncultured Diversispora. RNAcentral describes it as "SSU rRNA". It matches the Rfam family "Eukaryotic small subunit ribosomal RNA", at positions 375 to 1093 of the family's 1831-position model. The record is from RNAcentral. Lineage: Eukaryota; Fungi; Glomeromycota; Glomeromycetes; Diversisporales; Diversisporaceae.
GUUCGAUUCCGGAGAGGGAGCCUGAGAAACGGCUACCACAUCCAAGGAAGGCAGCAGGCGCGCAAAUUACCCAAUCCCGACACGGGGAGGUAGUGACAAUAAAUAACAAUACGGGGCCCAUUAGGGUCUCGUAAUUGGAGUGAGUACAAUUUAAAUCCCUUAACGAGGAACAAUUGGAGGGCAAGUCUGGUGCCAGCAGCCGCGGUAAUUCCAGCUCCAAUAGCGUAUAUUAAAGUUGUUGCAGUUAAAAAGCUCGUAGUUGAACUUCGGGGGUUACCCAUUGGUCAGGCUUAAUUGACUGUACUGGUGAGAUAAAUCUCUACCUUCUGAGGAACUCUCAUGCCACUUAUUUGGUGUGGUUGGAAAUCAGGACUGUUACUUUGAAAAAAUUAGAGUGUUUAAAGCAGGCUAACGUCUGAAUACAUUAGCAUGGAAUAAUGAAAUAGGACGGACUGAUUCUAUUUCGUUGGUUUCUAGGAUCACCGUAAUGAUUAAUAGGGAUAGUUGGGGGCAUUAGUAUUCAAUUGUCAGAGGUGAAAUUCUUGGAUUUAUUGAAGACUAACUACUGCGAAAGCAUUUGCCAAGGAUGUUUUCAUUAAUCAAGAACGAAAGUUAGGGGAUCGAAGACGAUCAGAUACCGUCGUAGUCUUAACCAUAAACUAUGCCGACUAGGGAUCGGACGAAGUUAAUUUUAUAAUGACGCGUUCGGCACCUUACGG